Molecule: ribosomal RNA, 274 nt
Filed under: uncultured bacterium
Lineage: Bacteria
Description: partial 16S ribosomal RNA
Rfam family: Bacterial small subunit ribosomal RNA
Source: RNAcentral
AUACGGAGGGUGCAAGCGUUAUUCGGAAUCACUGGGCGUAAAGGACGCGUAGGCGGGUUGGCAAGUCAGAUGUGAAAUCCUACAGCUUAACUGUAGAACUGCAUUUGAAACUGCUAACCUAGAGUAUGAGAGGGGGAGAUGGAAUUAGUGGUGUAGGGGUAAAAUCCGUAGAUAUCACUAGGAAUACCGAAAGCGAAGGCGAUCUCCUGGAACAUAACUGACGCUAAGGCGUGAAAGCGUGGGGAGCAAACAGGAUUAGAAACCCGUGUAGUCC